This is a long non-coding RNA of Homo sapiens (human), 9419 nucleotides long. RefSeq annotates it as long intergenic non-protein coding RNA 1004. The transcript has a single exon. NCBI's taxonomy places the organism in Eukaryota, Metazoa, Chordata, Mammalia, Primates, Hominidae. The record is from RefSeq and is marked validated.
AUGGUGAAACCCUGUCUCUGCUAAAAAUGUAAGAAUUAGCUGGGUGUGGUGGCACACACCUGUAAUCGUAGCUACUCAGGAGGCUGAGGCAUGAAAAUUGCUUUAACCCGAGGGGCAGAGGUUGCAGUGGGCCGAGAUUAUGCCACUGCACUCCACCCUGGGUGACAGAGUAACAGUCUCAGAAAAAGAAAAAGGAAUAGUAGUGGGUCUUCAGAUACUUAGAUGUCAUGAGCUGGGACUUUAAUGGGCCAUUUUUAAAAUUUGACAUUAAAAAUUCCGUCCUAAUGCCAGUAAAUAAUUUUCAUCAUUUAAUUCCGCAUGUUUUUGGUAUAUUCAUCUAGCACCUUCUGAAUGUUAUUAGACCUCCUAUAUAGUUAACCUUGGAUAUCAUAUGGUGGUUUGGUAGACUUUUUUUUUUUUUUAAUACACACACGUCUUUUAGCUUGGUUGAUAUGCCCUCAGCCUGAAAGAUAACAACUUGCUUAUUUAUUACACAACCAGAUUACUUGACUCCCUAUGUUUGAAGUCCCCAGUUUAGAUUGGUUAUUAAGUAAGCAUUCAUUAGAUUUUCAAUUAUUUAUAAAAGCUAAAUAUAAAGAACCACAAACUAUUUCAACAAGUUAAUACAGCCAAAGCAUAUAGAUAAAUAUAUGAAACAAUACAGUAAAUACAUGAGACCAAAAAUUCAGUCUUUCAUCAGUCUGGAAAUAAACAAAUAUUUUGUGUGUGAUUGUUUCUGAAACUGCAGACAGGUAUUUUUAAUUCUUAACUCCUACUGUGUUCAGUACAUUAUUCAGAAGAUUAGCCAGGAACAGAAAAUGUGCAAUUUAAUUUCCCUUAGGUUCAAGGUAUAAGCUAAACAGAGUCUUUCCCUGCACAAAUUAUCAAGUUGGCUGUGUUUCACUGGAUAGGAGAUGGGACAGUGGGAAUCUUGUUUGUUCAUUGAUGGGCGUCAUUAUUUAGAUGGUGAGGCAUUUGGCUACCUUGAAAGUCAUCUUUACUCCCUGUUACCCUCACUUUAUUGAAUUUCUUUACUUUGACUUUCAGAGCUCUGGGCAGAAAUCACAUAUUAGUUUGGAGGACUUUGUUAUUUUAUUCAAGUUAAAGUAUAGGGUUUCCCCAAAUUGAAAACCAGAGUAGCCUAUGAUCAUUCCCUGUGGGAUUCUUUAACUGUUAAGGCAAAAGAAAAUGCAGUUGCACUUAAGAGUAUAUGGAUAAAAUAAAGAACUGUGAAGUGAAAAGGGGAGAGAUUUUUUUAAAGAUGACUAUAUUUUAACUCCUCCUGACUAGUAAAUUCAAGGAUACCAGGAAAGAUGAGGUGUAGACUUUAAACCUUCCAACAUUCCAUUGUGUUAAUCAUUCUUCCUCAUCAAAGAGGCAGUAAGGGAUAAUUUAGAGUGACUACAGUUACAAAUAAUGUGCUGUAUAAGCACCCAAGAGCAGAGAUAAGGAUGGAAUUAAGGGUGUUAAAGAAAAUAUGGCCUCUCUUCUUUACCAUUUGAUUGUUUUUGCUGUCCCUGGAGACUCAUAUCUCUCUCUAUUCCUAGGACCAAAGUUUACACAACUGCCAAAUAUAUAAACAAGAACACCCCUUAAAAUUCCUGUGAAACAUUGUACAUCUUAAGAGAGCAGAUGUGUCUAUGGGCUGUCACAAAUAUCAGUCUUGCUAUGUUAAGCAUAAACUUAACAAAUAUUAGUGGAGACACACUAUUUAGGAUUCGCCUAAAACCCUCUAAGAUAGAGGUCCCCAAUCCCGGCCCCUGAUCGGCCGCACCUGCAGGAGGUGAGUGAUGGGCCAGUGAACAUCAUAGCUGAGCUCAGCCUCCUGUCAGAUCAGUGGCCGCAUUAGAUUCUCAUAGGUGUGAGAACCCAAUUGUGAAGUGCACGUGUGAGGGAUCUAGGUUGUGCUCUCCUUAUGAGAAUCUAACUAAUGCCUGAUAAUCUGAGGUGGAAGAGUUUCAUGCCAAAACCAUCCCCUUGCCCUGUCCAUUGAAAAAUUGUCCUCCACAAAACGGGUCCCUGGUGCCAAAAAGGUUGGGAACCACUGCUCUAAGGUGUCCAGUGUUGGCUGACCCCUCUCCCUACUUAUGCACCCAUUGGCUUGCCUAACAGCUGAUUGAUUUCUGUUUAAAUAGACACAGUAUAUUGGGGCAGUUUAUUGCAUCUUUGGUCAUCUCUUUUCCUCUGGGUCCCUAGGACGGAAGACAAUAUCCUAAGUUGAUUCUGUCUAACAAAACAUGAGUAAAAUGAGGAAUUGGUUAGGUAGGUGGCAAACAGCAAAGAUUAUAUGGACUUGUAGCUUGCUCCAUAAGUAGACUUUAACCAAGUAAGCUAUUUGAAAAACAAUCUUAAUUUUUUUCAAGUGUUAUUUUUAAUUCUAUAGGAAUAUUUUCAUAAAAAUAAUGAUGUCCAUUAUGUUAGCAACUAGAAUUACAAUGGCAAGUUUUAGGAGAUGCUUGAAAUGUGAGAUGUUACAUUUAAAACUAUAAAGUUAUCGACCUAAGUAUAUGAUUGUACCCAUGUGGCAGUAAACUUAAAACUUCCAGUUUCAGGUUUUGUUGUUUGUUUGUUUGUUUGUUUUAAAGAGUUGUUAAUGGGGGAAAGGAAAGGAAUAUGUGAGGGAGAUUGGCUUGCAAAGCCUAAAAUAUUUCUUAUGUGGCCCUAUAUAGAAAAAGCUUGUGUAUUCUGGACAAGAGCAAUUAAAGGAAAUAGUUUGGACUUAAAACUUCUAAAAAUAAAUAGUGCUCAAAUUGCACUUGGAAGUCAGAGACCUUGCUGGUCAUCAAAGGGUUCAGUUCAGUCAGUAGUUAGAAAAGACAGAAGCCAGCUUAGCCAAGAGUCAGAAUACAAAUAUUCAGAACCGAUUAAUAGGCAAAUAAUUAUAUAUACCAUGUCCCAGCCAGUAGAUGGAAUAAUAUGCCACCAUUAAAUUUAUAUUAACAUGUAAAAAUGUUUGGAGUUUAGGGCUCUUUACCCAUAUCUUAGUGACAUAGGAAGAAAAUUAAGAUAAAUCACAAGCAACUAGAAAAUAGACAUGUUAACUUUAUUUUAGUACAUACUCUGGUAGGAUUUUUACAUAAUCUUACGUACUAGUCAGCCUUCUUAGAAGUGUCACAUAGUCAAUAUCCUUAAAGAGAAAUGGAAGCUAAUCAGGUAAGUAAAUUGUGAGCUGAGGCCUACAUCAUGCUUGCUAUUCAAAGAGAAUAAAGUAAUUGGAUAAAUGAUAAUGCCUCCUUGUUGGGAAAACAGUCUUCAAAAAUGGCACUAAGUUACAGUUCUAAUGCAAUAGAGUCACUAAUUACUAUGAAUACUUGUUUUACUUGGCAGAUUACUAACAAAGUUAAUUGGAUACAAUAAAUGUAAAGAUUUUCUUUUAAAACGACAGAUUCUUCAGUGAGGUGUAAACAUUUUAUAGAACAAUUAUCAAAGCUAUAUUGGACUUAAAUAUUGGUCAUGAAUGUAUGCACACCCCAUAGGUAGCUGCCCUCCUUGGGCAGCUUUUGACUCCUAUGCCAAAUUUUAAAAUAAAGGCCGUGGCCAGGCGUGGUGGCUCAUGCCUGUAAUCCCAACACUUCAGGAGUCCAAAGCGGGCGGAUCGCGAGGUCAGGAGAUCGAGACCGUCCUGGCUAACACGGUGAAACCCUGUCUCUACUAAAAAUACAAAAAAAAAAAAUUAGCCGGGCGUGGUUGCAGGCGCCUGUAGUUCCAGCUCCUUUGGGAGGCUGAGGCAGGAGAAGGAUCUGAACCCGGGAGGCAGACCUUGCAGUGAGCCAAGAUCGCGCCACUGCACUCCAGCCUGGGCAAGAGCGAGACUCCAUCUCAAAAAAAUAAAAUAAAGGCCAUAUGUUUAAUCACAUUCCCCAAAAGGAGAACUUCAUAAGGCACUAAUGAGUAAUGUUUAUUUUACGAAUGAUUUUACGGGAAAAAUUACAGAGGAUGUUUAAAUUGCAAAAAUACUCCUCCCCUUUUUUCUCCUCCACCGCCCCCCAAAAAAAAUCCUUUGCAGUUAUCACCUAAGCUUUUUGGGUGUGUGAUUUAAAAAAAAAAAAAAAAAACCACAAGACCUACCUUAACAAUUUAAGUAUGCAGUAUUGUUUCUUCUCAGCUGCCCAGUCUUUGUAAUUCUUAUUUCUUAUGCAGAACAAUUUAGCAUUUGACCCUACUAUCACCAAAAAAAAAAAAAAAAGAAAAAAAUAUAUAGCAGUUGAGGGCAGUAUACAAGCUUAGUAAGUAUAUUCUGGUACUUGCUUAGGAAGUAGGAAAUGUGAUCAGAUUCUGUUCUCUACCAUAUGACACUGAUUUGCAAGGCCCCGGGUACAGGACUACUGGUAAAAAGAACCCUGUAACUUCCUGUCACAGAGGGACACAGCAAUAUAUAUAAAACAGCAUCUGCCGUAAAUCUUUGGGGAACGUCUUACUAGAUUUAACCAGCUAAUUUUACUAGGUAUUUAGGAAAGUGUGACUGCAGUUCAGGGUCUUUGUUUUUUCUUUUAAGACAGGGUCUGGCUUUGUUGCUCAGGCUGGAGUGCAGUGGCAUGAUCAAGGCUCAUUGCAGCCUCAGCAUCCCUGGGCUGCAGCGAUUCUUCCACCUCGGCCACCCAAAACUGGGAUUAUGGGUGUGAGCCACCACACCUGGCCUCUUAUAUCUUGAUUAAGGUCCUGUCUGGGCCUACAAAGGUUCAAUUUGCUUAACCCCAGCACUUUCCCUCAACAUGGAGGUCCUUAGUCAACAUUAACCAAGGUAAUAAAGAGUUGAAAGUUUUAAUCAUAAGUAGGUGGAGGAGCAUUUAAACUGGUUUAAUAAACUUGAAAUAUGAAUACCUUAAAUAUUCGAAUAACAAAGCACUGGUGAAACAGGUUUUUCUAUGGAAAGACCACAAUUUUCUAUCCAGCACAUUUCAUUUGACUGGGUUCCUUUGUUUCUGUAAUAAAUAGGACUUUGAGAAUUCCAAAUCAAAUUUGCACUUUUGCACAAAAGGUUCACUUGGUGACUCUCAUGCCUCCAUAAGUGUGUUCCAUCUGAUUCUGCACAACCUACUGCCUUCAGGGUAUCCUGGGACCAGCCAAAGAGAUGAUUCCAACCAGUGGAAUCAUCAUUAAACUAGUGGUUCUUAAAAUAUGGACACUGAGUCAACCUGCAUCAGAAUUACUGUAGAUUCUGGACAAAUGUACGAAGUCAACAUCAAAUCAGUGCUACAUUUUGAAAAGGUAACUGUAAUAAAAAGAUUUUUUUGAGAUACUGAAAUUGCAGUGAAGACAAUGUUCCCACCUUUUUAAAAUGGUGUAAUAUUAGGUUCAUUUAUGGAAUGUUUUAUGAAGCAGAUUUGUAUUUUAACAAGCCUUUUAGGAAUGCAGAUAUUAUAGGGGAUAACAUGAAUGGUGGUAAAGAGGGGGGCAUAUUUGAGCAAUGAUUUUUCAAGAGCUAUGAAUUUACAGUGCAAUCCUAGCAGGAAAAGAGAGGGAGAAAAGAACAUCUAUUUUGAGCUGCAGACAUAAUUGCAUCACAGCUGAGAUUUCAUAGUCCCCGUCCUCUCUAUUCCUGUUGAAUUACAUGAUUAAAGGUAACUAUAUAUAUAUGAAUAUAUGAAGAUGUUUAAUUGUUGCAGGUUGGAGAAUUUGGGCCAGGGAGAAUUCACUUGGCCAAUGAGUUAAAAAUGAGAAAAGGAUUAGCAGUCAUCAAAAUUUCUAAGUAGUUAAUUAUCUGCAUGGUGGGUUCAGUAUAAACAAACAUGGUACUCUCAAAUGACUGUUGAUGGGCUAUUAAAUUACAUUAGUAUCCUGUGAACCCUGGUCAUAGCUGGAAAGGAGAAUCUUUUGAGAAAUGGAAAAACCAGGUUAUUUGUACAUAAGGAAUAUGUCUUUUAAACACCCCCAAAGUAUAGAUUAAGACGUGAUUGAUGAAAAGUCUCCAUUUUCUAAUGAUGGUUUUAUGAAACCAAAGUAUUUACAACUAAGAACCAACCAUCUGAUCGCCAGUAGAGAGUGGAAAAUAGGAAAGGGUAACGUCUCAGUAUGGUAUCUGGAGUAGUCUGGCUAGGACCAUAAACUUCAUUUUGUUUACAAGUUCCCAGAAAAUAAGCCUGAAUGAGCUUAGAGCUUAAUACUUCCAGUGAUGGUUCUCUCUUCCCUCAAGUAUACAGAUUAACUAUUUUUGUGCCGUGGGCCUUUUGACAGCCCCCAAAAGCCCGUGGAUCCCAUCUCAGAAUGUUUUACAUGUGUAUUACAUAAUGCUCACACAUUCUAAAUUUUAUCUACCGACUCCUAGUUAGAAAUCCCUUGCAAGGGGUGUUAGGGUUCUGAGAGAAGGCUGGUAAGUAAUGAGGCUUUUAACUUAUUUCAGUAUCCUGUUCAGGUCGGGAAUAUGUUGUGUUCUAAUUACUCUAGUUUCCAGCUCAAUUGGUGUUGGAGAAACUAGCCCACUUAUAAGUGGCUCAAAUGAAAACCCACGGGGAGGCAUUUUUCUUUAAUAAGCAACCCUAAGCCCCCUUUGAAGUCAGUCUGACUAAUCAAAAGAAAGAGGUUAUAUAUCCCAGUUUUGACCUUUUGUGAAAAUAGCCCUUUUACUGUAUGUGAUAUAUUAUUGGCAUCUCAUUCUGCACAGUCCAAAUGAUGUAGACAAAAUAGUGAUUGGUAUAUAACUAUGGACACCGAAGAUCCACUGCAAGGCCUGCCGAUCACUUUACACAGAAGGAGCCCCUUUCCUGAGGUCCGCUUGCUCGCUCGGGGUGGGGUGGUACUUUGCCCUAGUAAACUACCAAGCAGUCCGAACGUUCGCUCCUCUGGAAGACCGAGUUGUGGGCGGCUGCGCUGCGGGGGCAAACUCGCCGCAUGCCCGCUGGCCAGAGCGAGUCGGGGCCUGGCGUUAGGGCAAUCCAGACUGGCCGGCAUGGUACAGGGCGUAUCCCUAGCCGCCUUCUGUGUCAUAUGGGGCGCCGCCCUCCAGCCUAGGAGAGGCGGCCGCUAGGAGGGGCAGAAGGGCCUUGUCUGCCCCGGUCUGAAUACCCCAGGCGGGGUCGGAAAGCGGGUCACAGAAGAGCCCAGUAAACUGCAGGGGUGCAGCUCGUCUCCAGGAACCGGCAACCCCCAGGGCCGCACAAGCCGGUAACAACCCAUAAUCCGAUCCUGUCUUCGGGAUCAGAAGAGAGGACAGCUGGCCCGCGCGCCAGCUCAGUUCCUCCUCCGCAUUCUUCAGGAGGAGCCCCAGAAACGCACUUCCGCCGCGCGGGCCUGCCUCCACGCAGGGCGCGUCCUAGGCCGGUUCAUUUCCGCCCAGCGCUUUCUGUGGCUAGGGGAGUCAGGGGUUUCCUUUUCCCUUAUUCGGGCUCUUAUGUUACCCCCGUUUUCCGUUGAACCCUUUUCUCCCCUCUUGCCCUCCAAAAAAGCAGUCUGCUGCCGCUCCCGACUUUUCUCGCUGAGACACCGUCAGCUCACUCCGAGCCCAGCACAGCGGCCAUCUUCGGUAAAUUCUGGCAGCAGCCCGCCUGUUCAUUGUCCUGUGUGCCCAGAGGAAAGAACUACUCAUUUUUCGUGAUCAAGCUAGGGGAGGCAGGAGCAAUAAUGGCCCUGCUAUAGGACUGGCUUUUAUUUGAAUUCCAACUCUUCUGCCACCUUAACCAGCUGUAUCCAGAUUUUAAAAGUUAAUCUAUCCGAGCCUCUUAUUAAAUAUUAGGUUGAUGAGAUGAUGCAUGCAAAGCGCUUAGAACAGUACUAGGCAUAAAGCGUCCGACAUAAAGGUUAAGUAAAAGUAAGGAAAAGCUAUGGGGAUGUAUUGAGUAUCUCUUUGCCCAAUGACGUAUUAGUCGUAUUAAAUAUGGAAAGUGCCUUUGAUUCGCCGUGCCCAUGGGAGAAGGCAUAGGAAUGGCCUUUUCCCACCUGUAAUCAGAGAGCAGGUGUUUCAAGAACGCCUCAAUAUGUUUGCGAUCUCUCACGCAGCCUUUCAGGCUCCUAAUUCCUACGAAGUUUCCGCUUUUAUUCAAAUUGGCUCACUCCUUUUUGCAGGGCUUUGUACUGAAUGAGUAUUCUUUUAAGGGUGGUGGACAAGCAAAGGUUUGGUAGCAUCACAUUUUUAAUUUCACAGGGAAAAUGGGUAUGAAACAUCUUCCCAAGUACAUCUUAGACUGCCAGCUGACAGCAAGCCAUAAUGCUCCCCAGCUCUUGGGCCCUACACCCCCUCUCCCCCAUCCCCGCUUUAGUUCUUUGUCAUUGCUCAUGGACAGCUGGUUUGGGGACCAGGUGCAGAUGAUGGGAGGUGUCUGAAAAACAGCAAGUGAGAAAUGCUAGUUUUGUUGUUUUAAGUUGCACUGAUGACUCCAGUAGUUAUCUGUGCUGCUUGUGAUAAUUUAUAAGGCAAUGAUAACGAAUUAAACAUACAAAAGAUUAUUAUCUUCCACAGGAAAAAAAAACUGCAAACUUGUGACACCAUUUAUGAUCCACUUAGUCUUGAGAUACUGAGUAAUAGAACUUUCUCCUUUUAGGCUGAGUUAUGAACUUCGGUUUGGUUUCUUUCUGCAAUCCCUGCAGGGCCAUAAAUUCUUGGCCCUUAAGACUGGGUGGCCCAUAACAGACUCAGUGAUACCAUCAGUAACCACAAUUCACACUGGAGUCAAGUUAUCUGAUUCCCACACCAGUUGGAGAACUGGAGAUUCCUUAGAACUUUUAACUGUCAUGUUUUCAAAGUUGACAUGGAAAAUUUUACAUGAAGCUUAAAAAUACAACUAAUCUGUGGUGAUAGAGACGAGAAGAGUUAAGCUCUAAAAUUAGAAGAGCAGUUCGUUUUGAGGCAGCACUGAUUGGGAGGGAGCAUGGAGUAUAUAAUUACACAUUUCUAUGUAAUGUAAAAAUGUAUAGAUUUAAGAUUUAUGCAUUUUAUGUAAAUUUUACUACAAUAAAACGAAAAUGAAAGAAGACAGAUCAUAGUUUAAUCAAAUAUUGUGUACAAAGUAAUUUCUGUUAAACAUUUAUAUUUUUAUGUGUAUAUGUAUCUUUUACAUGUAUGUGUUAAGGAUAUGCAUUAAAAUGGUAAUAACUUCCUCUGCCUGUUGGGAUAAUGGAGAGUUUUGUUACUUUUUGUCUUUUUUUAAAACAUGUUCUUCAAUAAUAAUGUAUUGCUUUUGUAAUUAUGAAAAACAAAAGUUAUUUUGUAAAUCUUUGUUACUGAUAAGAGAUGGGUAUUCUGUUAACUACUCAAUUCUCAUGUAGGAAAACAAAAUAAAUAAUGUCUAUUUGAUAAAUCGAGAAACAGAAGCAUUACUUAGAAAUCUGAGUUACCUCUAAAAUAAUGACUGGCAUUUGAAGUUGAGGAUGGGUCUUGAGUUCCUGUGAUUUUAAGCUCUUGGAUAUGAGGGUUGGGUGAGUUCCUCUUUUUCUCUUUUAAAAUAUAUGUAUGUUUAACUUUGCUAAAUAAAAUUUAAAAGAUGCAA